RNAcentral lists this ribosomal RNA (460 nucleotides) under Funneliformis mosseae. Its description in RNAcentral is "LSU rRNA". It matches the Rfam family "Eukaryotic large subunit ribosomal RNA", at positions 358 to 668 of the family's 3401-position model. The record is from RNAcentral. Lineage: Eukaryota; Fungi; Glomeromycota; Glomeromycetes; Glomerales; Glomeraceae.
GGAAAGAUGAAAAGAACUUUGAAAAGAGAGUUAAACAGUACGUGAAAUUGUUGAAAGGGAAACGAUUGAAGUCAGUCAUACCAACGGGAAAUCAACCUUUUGAGCUUGGUCUCGUGGGUUUUGAAGAGUUUCAAAGCCUUCGGAUUCGCGGGAUUGGGAUCUCUUGGUGUACUUUUUCGUACGGUUAGUCAACAUCGGUUUUGAAUGUCAUAAAAUGACUGGAGGAAUGUAGCUUCGAUCUCGUAUUGAAGUGUUAUAGCCUUUGGUAGAUGUGAUGUUUGAGACCGAGGAUUGCAACGGAUACCCUUCAGGGCUAUCCGUCUGAUCUCUGAUACGUUGCCUUGAUGUUGAAAGCUUGCUUAUGAUGUUAGGGUAUUACGGUCAAAAGGUUAGAACGAAUUACAUUCGUUAAGGAUGUUGACGUAAUGACUUUAAACGACCCGUCUUGAAACACGGACCA